CAGUAGCCGCGGUAAUACGUAGGGUGCAAGCGUUAAUCGGAAUUACUGGGCGUAAAGCGUGCGCAGGCGGUUAUAUAAGUCAGAUGUGAAAUCCCCGGGCUCAACCUGGGAACUGCAUUUGAGACUGUAUGGCUAGAGUGUGUCAGAGGGGGGUAGAAUUCCACGUGUAGCAGUGAAAUGCGUAGAUAUGUGGAGGAAUACCGAUGGCGAAGGCAGCCCCCUGGGAUAACACUGACGCUCAUGCACGAAAGCGUGGGGAGCAAACAGGAUUAGAUACCCCGGUAGUCCCUGUCUCUUAUAA
Molecule: ribosomal RNA, 301 nt
Filed under: uncultured bacterium
Lineage: Bacteria
Description: partial 16S ribosomal RNA
Rfam family: Bacterial small subunit ribosomal RNA
Source: RNAcentral